UACGUAGGGGGCUAGCGUUGUCCGGAAUCAUUGGGCGUAAAGAGCGUGUAGGCGGCCCGGUAAGUCCGCUGUGAAAGUCGGGGGCUCAACCCUCGAAUGCCGGUGGAUACUGUCGGGCUAGAGUGCGGAAGAGGCGAGUGGAAUUCAUGGUGUAGCAGUGAAAUGCGUAGAUAUCGAGAGGAACACCUGCGGCGAAGGCGGGUUGCUGGGCUGACACUGACGCUGAGGCGCGAAAGCCAGGGGAGCGAACGGG
RNAcentral lists this ribosomal RNA (253 nucleotides) under uncultured bacterium. RNAcentral's name for it is "partial 16S ribosomal RNA". It matches the Rfam family "Bacterial small subunit ribosomal RNA", at positions 524 to 776 of the family's 1533-position model. The record is from RNAcentral.